This 591-nucleotide unclassified non-coding RNA is filed under the name Pogonomyrmex barbatus (red harvester ant). Its description in RNAcentral is "uncharacterized LOC105430010, transcript variant X1". Lineage: Eukaryota; Metazoa; Arthropoda; Insecta; Hymenoptera; Formicidae. The record is from RNAcentral.
AAAAUCAUCAAUCUAUUACAUUGAAAAAUAAGGAAACUGAUGUCAUCACAGCAAGUAAGAUGGAAAAUGAAUGCCUUAACAAAACGGUACAAAGAAUGUAUCGACAGCAAUAAUAAAACUGGAAGAGGUGCUGUUGAAUUUCAAUGGUUCGAUCAACUCGAUGAAAUUUUCGGGAAAAACAAUGUUAAAUCGGCUUAUCUGUUUCAACGAAGUUGUCUUUCUUUUUUGCGACGACAUCUAAGAAUAAAGAAUAUAACGCAACAGUCACUAACGAACAGAGUGAAAAUAAAGGAAAGAAAAAAAAGGAGUUGCAUGAAUCUCAUUUUGAAGUGAAAAAUACAAAGCGUACGGUCCUUGAAGAGAUCUGCCCAUCAUCAAAUAUAGCUGCAAAUAAGCAAGUUAUUGAAGAUGUAACAGCAACGAUGCAGCCCGAGACGUUAAAAAAGUUAUGCCCAGCACACGGAACUGCUUCAAACAUCGCAAAAAGUAAAAUUGAACUCGAAAAGCAGUGGCAUCAAUAUCUGUGGCAAGAUAAAACUAAAAGAGAGAUUAAGCUAAAGAGAAACGGUACAACGACAUAAUGAAAAAAAA